UUACGGUCAUAUGACGUUGAAAUACCGGUUCCCAUACGUUCACUGUUAAAAGUUAAUCAACGUUGAGCCUGGUCAGUACCUAGAUGGGUGACCGCUUGGGAAUACAAGGUGCUGUAAG
Non-coding RNA from Acanthosepion pharaonis, 118 nucleotides. The record is from the annotation of a GenBank genome assembly. Lineage: Eukaryota; Metazoa; Mollusca; Cephalopoda; Sepiida; Sepiidae.